CUUCUAUGUGAGAAUUUAUAGCUGUUAUGCUUUUUGCAGGAAAAAGAACAAUUUAUCAUUUCACAACUGAAAGCAGAAGGCUUGACUCCUCGUGAUGAAGAAGGUCGGCGGCGCUCCCUGGACAGUGAAGUGAUGGCCGUGUUUUACAAAGGCUUCUUGGACACAAACAGAGUACGACAUUCGAGUUAUAACAAUGAAUGGUACCGACGUAACUUCACCAUCACCAUGCUCAUGGCCCGCGUCGCUCUGAGGAACAUCUGGAGGACUGUUACUAAAAGAAACAACAAGAAUAACAGCACAUCUACCACCUGAUACACAAAUAAAAUAUCUACCCACCCUCCUA
Notothenia coriiceps (black rockcod) is the source of this 343-nucleotide long non-coding RNA. RefSeq lists it as uncharacterized. The transcript has 3 exons. The record is from RefSeq and is a predicted model, not a curated record. NCBI's taxonomy places the organism in Eukaryota, Metazoa, Chordata, Actinopteri, Perciformes, Nototheniidae.